UGCCAAAAACAAAACGCAAUACAUUUUUUGCACGUGAAUUUUUAUACAAAAAUAAUAUUGUCAUGUUUAUUUUCGAAUUAUAAUCUCAAAAUAGAUACUGAAUUAAAUGAAAAAAAUAUGAUUUCGAUGGGCCCUCUAAAACACUCUCCGAAAGUUGGCCUGAAAUUAACACGAACCAAAUAAAUUUUCAAUGGUUUUAAAUUUUCAAAAAAAACAGUGGUUUCUAGUAGAAAAACUCACAACACACUGCCUAUAAGUUGUAUUUAACAGCUAUAUAUCUAAACUGGCUGAAUGAUCAAUAUAAACUUAUUGGAUAAACAUAGAAAAAAUUAUUUAAAAAGUUAUUUAUUUUGCACUUUAAACAACAGCAUAUUUUUGGUAUGUGAUUAACUAAAAAC
Daktulosphaira vitifoliae (grape phylloxera) is the source of this 398-nucleotide long non-coding RNA. RefSeq lists it as uncharacterized. The transcript is spliced from 3 exons. The record is from RefSeq and is a predicted model, not a curated record. NCBI's taxonomy places the organism in Eukaryota, Metazoa, Arthropoda, Insecta, Hemiptera, Phylloxeridae.